Molecule: ribosomal RNA, 443 nt
Filed under: uncultured bacterium
Lineage: Bacteria
Description: bacterial SSU rRNA
Rfam family: Bacterial small subunit ribosomal RNA
Source: RNAcentral
GUAGGGAAUAUUGGGCAAUGGUCGGAAGACUGACCCAGCCAUGCCGCGUGCAGGAAGACGGCCCUCUGGGUUGUAAACUGCUUUUAUCUGGGAAGAAAAAGGCCAUGCGUGGCAAAUUGCCGGUACCAGAUGAAUAAGCACCGGCUAACUCCGUGCCAGCAGCCGCGGUAAUACGGAGGGUGCGAGCGUUGUCCGGAUUUAUUGGGUUUAAAGGGUGCGUAGGCGGCUGAUUAAGUCAGCGGUGAAAGACUUCGGCUUAACCGGAGCAGUGCCGUUGAUACUGGUUGGCUUGAGUGUCGGAGGGGUACAUGGAAUUGAUGGUGUAGCGGUGAAAUGCAUAGAUACCAUCAGGAACACCGAUAGCGAAGGCAUUGUACUGGCCGACAACUGACGCUGAUGCACGAAAGUGUGGGGAUCGAACAGGAUUAGAUACCCCUGUAGUC